This 479-nucleotide small RNA is filed under the name Tannerella forsythia 3313. Its description in RNAcentral is "Acido-Lenti-1 RNA". The stretch from base 207 to 251 matches the Rfam family "Acido-Lenti-1 RNA". Lineage: Bacteria; Pseudomonadati; Bacteroidota; Bacteroidia; Bacteroidales; Tannerellaceae. The record is from RNAcentral. RNAcentral also lists the same sequence under 1 other name.
AUCCACAACGCGAAACUUAUACUUUUGCGCUCGUUGCGGAAGUUUUUUUCUUCUGUAACGGGCGCAAAUUCAUAAAGUCGUUACCUUUCUUUAUCCCAAAUUACGCGAUACACUGUUCGGCGUUUACCAUUAAUCAUGGACGUACGAAUGCACGACAAUGGUUACGUCAGGCUUACAGCCCUCCGCCGGGAUGCGAUGCCUUUUUCCCCAACGCUUCGCAUUGGGCUGAAUUAUCUCGCCCUUUCAGGGCUCUUUCUGCAAUCAGCAGUCAGCAUUCAGCAAUCAGCAGAGCCAACAAAUCAACAUCUCAACAAUUCAACAACUCACCGCCUCUGCGGGGUUUACGAGGGCUGAAAGCCCGAAUUAUUUCAGCCCCAUCCCGCAAGGGUGGGGUAUAUCGACAUCCGGACCUUGUUCGGAGGGCUGAAAGCCUGAAUUAAAUUCAUUCUUAUUUCUUCUAUUGCGGAAUCUGGGUUUAU